GGCACGCCUGCGGAGGCCCACACACCCUGAAGGCGGAGCCCCUGGUCGAGUGGCUGGCUCCCGGACCACCCAGCAGUCUGGAAGGAGCCCCUGUGUAGCUGGUACUGCCCUAGGAGACCGUAUACAUACUGAUAGCCUAAUGAUUGAAGGAGAAAUUCGGGAAAGGGAUCGCGUAUCCAGGAGGUAGAGCCUGUCUGCCAGGCAGUGGGGACCUCAAGAUCUGGAAUGUGGGUGGAUGCCCAGUGUGUACAGGAGGCUCCAGGAGGGAGUCAGAGCACUGGAAGACAGGAACAGAAGGAUCAGAAAUUCAAGUCCAGCUUUGGAUAGAUGGCGCCAAGGCUAGCCUGGGCUACAUGAGAUCCUGUGUAAACUGCCCUCCCCCCCCCAAUAAAUGAAAUAAAACGAGUCAGCAGC
This 414-nucleotide long non-coding RNA is filed under the name Mus spretus (western wild mouse). Its description in RNAcentral is "predicted gene 13830 (ENSMSPG00010046962.1)". The record is from RNAcentral. Lineage: Eukaryota; Metazoa; Chordata; Mammalia; Rodentia; Muridae.